AGUGAACGCUGGCGGUAGGCCUAACACAUACAAGUCGAACGGCAGCACAGAGGAGCUUGCUCCUUGGGUGGCGAGUGGCGGACGGGUGAGGAAUACAUCGGAAUCUACUCUGUCGUGGGGGAUAACGUAGGGAAACUUACGCUAAUACCGCAUACGACCUACGGGUGAAAGCAGGGGAUCUUCGGACCUUGCGCGAUUGAAUGAGCCGAUGUCGGAUUAGCUAGUUGGCGGGGUAAAGGCCCACCAAGGCGACGAUCCGUAGCUGGUCUGAGAGGAUGAUCAGCCACACUGGAACUGAGACACGGUCCAGACUCCUACGGGAGGCAGCAGUGGGGAAUAUUGGACAAUGGGCGCAAGCCUGAUCCAGCCAUACCGCGUGGGUGAAGAAGGCCUUCGGGUUGUAAAGCCCUUUUGUUGGGAAAGAAAUCCAGCCGGCUAAUACCUGGUUGGGAUGACGGUACCCAAAGAAUAAGCACCGGCUAACUUCGUGCCAGCAGCCGCGGUAAUACGAAGGGUGCAAGCGUUACUCGGAAUUACUGGGCGUAAAGCGUGCGUAGGUGGUUAUUUAAGUCCGUUGUGAAAGCCCUGGGCUCAACCUGGGAACUGCAGUGGAUACUGGAUGACUAAAAUGUGGUAGAGGGUAGCGGAAUUUCCUGGUGUAGCAGUGAAAUGCGUAGAGAUCAGGAGGAACAUCCAUGGGCGAAGGCAGCUACCUGGACCAACAUUGACACUGGGGCACGAAAGCGUGGGGAGAAACAGG
Molecule: ribosomal RNA, 760 nt
Filed under: uncultured Stenotrophomonas sp.
Lineage: Bacteria; Pseudomonadati; Pseudomonadota; Gammaproteobacteria; Lysobacterales; Lysobacteraceae
Description: bacterial SSU rRNA
Rfam family: Bacterial small subunit ribosomal RNA
Source: RNAcentral